AUUGAACGCUGGUGGCAUGCUUAACACAUGCAAGUCGAACGGUAACAGGUCUUAGGAUGCUGACGAGUGGCGGACGGGUGAGUAACGCGUAGGAAUCUGCCCAUUUGAGGGGGAUACCAGUUGGAAACGACUGUUAAUACCGCAUAAUAUCUGUGGAUUAAAGGUGGCUUUCGGGCUGUCGCAGAUGGAUGAGCCUGCGUUGGAUUAGCUAGUUGGUGGGGUAAGGGCCCACCAAGGCUACGAUCCAUAGCUGAUUUGAGAGGAUGAUCAGCCACAUUGGGACUGAGACACGGCCCAAACUCCUACGGGAGGCAGCAGUGGGGAAUAUUGGACAAUGGGGGCAACCCUGAUCCAGCAAUGCCAUGUGUGUGAAGAAGGCCCUAGGGUUGUAAAGCACUUUAGUUGGGGAGGAAAGCCUCAAGGUUAAUAGCCUUGGGGGAGGACGUUACCCAAAGAAUAAGCACCGGCUAACUCCGUGCCAGCAGCCGCGGUAAUACGGGGGGUGCAAGCGUUAAU
Molecule: ribosomal RNA, 516 nt
Filed under: uncultured bacterium
Lineage: Bacteria
Description: bacterial SSU rRNA
Rfam family: Bacterial small subunit ribosomal RNA
Source: RNAcentral